Molecule: ribosomal RNA, 428 nt
Filed under: Arthrobacter sp.
Lineage: Bacteria; Bacillati; Actinomycetota; Actinomycetes; Micrococcales; Micrococcaceae
Description: bacterial SSU rRNA
Rfam family: Bacterial small subunit ribosomal RNA
Source: RNAcentral
UCCACUUGUGGGGGGAUUAGUGGCGAACGGGUGAGUAACACGUGAGUAACCUGCCCUUGACUCUGGGAUAAGCCUGGGAAACCGGGUCUAAUACUGGAUACGACCUUCUGGCGCAUGCCAUGUUGGUGGAAAGCUUUUGUGGUUUUGGAUGGACUCGCGGCCUAUCAGCUUGUUGGUGGGGUAAUGGCCUACCAAGGCGACGACGGGUAGCCGGCCUGAGAGGGUGACCGGCCACACUGGGACUGAGACACGGCCCAGACUCCUACGGGAGGCAGCAGUGGGGAAUAUUGCACAAUGGGCGCAAGCCUGAUGCAGCGACGCCGCGUGAGGGAUGAAGGCCUUCGGGUUGUAAACCUCUUUCAGUAGGGAAGAAGCCGGCCCUUGGGUUGGUGACGGUACCUGCAGAAGAAGCGCCGGCUAACUACGUG